RNAcentral lists this ribosomal RNA (110 nucleotides) under Halicampus grayi (Gray's pipefish). Its description in RNAcentral is "partial 16S rRNA". Lineage: Eukaryota; Metazoa; Chordata; Actinopteri; Syngnathiformes; Syngnathidae. The record is from RNAcentral.
CACCUUAAAACUAGCCCCACACCUAAAAGCAAAAGAUAACUACUAAUAAACCCUAAAAUAUUACAUCUAUGAAUUAAAACAUUCUACCGCCUAAGUACAGGAGAUAGAAA